This 577-nucleotide ribosomal RNA is filed under the name uncultured bacterium. RNAcentral's name for it is "partial 16S ribosomal RNA". It matches the Rfam family "Bacterial small subunit ribosomal RNA", at positions 355 to 920 of the family's 1533-position model. The record is from RNAcentral.
UGGGGAAUAUUGCACAAUGGGCGCAAGCCUGAUGCAGCCAUGCCGCGUGUGUGAAGAAGGCCUUCGGGUUGUAAAGCACUUUCAGCGAGGAGGAAGGUGGUGAGCUUAAUACGCUCAUCAAUUGACGUUACUCGCAGAAGAAGCACCGGCUAACUCCGUGCCAGCAGCCGCGGUAAUACGGAGGGUGCAAGCGUUAAUCGGAAUUACUGGGCGUAAAGCGCACGCAGGCGGUUUGUUAAGUCAGAUGUGAAAUCCCCGGGCUCAACCUGGGAACUGCAUUUGAAACUGGCAAGCUAGAGUCUCGUAGAGGGGGGUAGAAUUCCAGGUGUAGCGGUGAAAUGCGUAGAGAUCUGGAGGAAUACCGGUGGCGAAGGCGGCCCCCCUGGACGAAGACUGACGCUCAGGUGCGAAAGCGUGGGGCAGCAAACAGGAUUAGAUACCCUGGUAGUCCACGCUGUAAAACGAUGUCGAUUUUGGAGGUUGUGCCCUUGAGGCGUGGCUUCCGGAGCUAACGCGUUAAAUCGACCGCCUGGGGAGUACGGCCGCAAGGUUAAAACUUAAAUGAAUUGACGGGGUC